GACGAACGCUGGCGGCGUGCUUAACACAUGCAAGUCGAACGGAAAGGCCCUGCUUUUGUGGGGUGCUCGAGUGGCGAACGGGUGAGUAACACGUGAGUAACCUGCCCUUGACUUUGGGAUAACUUCAGGAAACUGGGGCUAAUACCGGAUAGGAGCUCCUGCUGCAUGGUGGGGGUUGGAAAGUUUCGGCGGUUGGGGAUGGACUCGCGGCUUAUCAGCUUGUUGGUGGGGUAGUGGCUUACCAAGGCUUUGACGGGUAGCCGGCCUGGGAGGGUGACCGGCCACAUUGGGACUGAGCUACGGCCCAGACUCCUACGGGAGGCAGCAGUGGAGAAUAUUGCACAAUGGGCGGAAGCCUGAUGCAGCAACGCCGCGUGCGGGAUGACGGCCUUCGGGUUGUAAACCGCUUUCGCCUGUGACGAAGCGUGAGUGACGGUAAUGGGUAAAGAAGCACCGGCUAACUACGUG
RNAcentral lists this ribosomal RNA (468 nucleotides) under uncultured bacterium. RNAcentral describes it as "partial 16S ribosomal RNA". It matches the Rfam family "Bacterial small subunit ribosomal RNA", at positions 28 to 507 of the family's 1533-position model. The record is from RNAcentral.